This 382-nucleotide ribosomal RNA is filed under the name Gymnodinium microreticulatum. RNAcentral describes it as "partial large subunit ribosomal RNA". The record is from RNAcentral. Lineage: Eukaryota; Dinophyceae; Gymnodiniales; Gymnodiniaceae.
UCGUCNCAUAGAUUGUAGGGAGGUGCCCGUGCUCUGAGCCACAAGGACAGCAGAGUACAGCAGCGCAGCCAAACAAAAGAGUGCAGUACACAAGCGAGUCCUACAAGGCACAUUCACCUACCCGAAGAUGGGCUACCAUGUCCCAAGAGUUAUCCUCGCCUGCCAACUGACAGUGACUGACAAGGCAAGAAACAUCACGCGCGAACAAAUCAAAGACUACAAGCACGCUUACGCUGAGCAAGCAGACAAUCAAUGCAGCACGUGACAAUCUCACCAAGCAGACUGGUUCCAUCCGCUUUCGUUUCAGCAAGUUCAGGCACUUUUAACUCUCUUUUCAAAGUCCUUUUCAUCUUUCCCUCAUGGUACUUGUUUGCUAUCGGUC